UGGCUCUGGCAUCGAUGAAGAACGCAGCGAAAUGCGAUAAGUAAUGUGAAUUGCAGAAUUCAGUGAAUCAUCGAAUCUUUGAACGCACAUUGCGCCCCCGGGCAUUCCCGGGGGCAUGCCUGUUCGAGCGUCAUUUCAACCCUCAAGCGUCUCGCUUGGUCUUGGGCCACGCCGGCAACGGCCGGCCUUAAAAUCAGUGGCGGUGCCGCCGGGCUCUGCGCGUAGUAACACUUCUCGCGCUUGGGUUCCGGUGGUUGCUUGCCAACAACCCCCAAUUUUUUAUGGUUGGCCUCGGAUCAGGUAGGGAUACCCGCUGA
This 317-nucleotide unclassified non-coding RNA is filed under the name uncultured fungus. RNAcentral describes it as "partial contains 5.8S ribosomal RNA and internal transcribed spacer 2". The stretch from base 1 to 133 matches the Rfam family "5.8S ribosomal RNA", at positions 22 to 154 of the family's 154-position model. The record is from RNAcentral. Lineage: Eukaryota; Fungi.